GCCCGCCCGCUGGCUCUCGGGCCCAGCCGGGCUGCCUGGUUAGCCCGGGGAGGGCCACAUCCCUGCCGCCCCAGUCACCGCCCUUCUUGAGCCGGGAAUCCCGCCCACGCCGCGCCACGCUCCGCCCCCGGGUGAGGGACUUGACCUCCGCCUGGCACCCUGGCGUAAGGGUGAUUGCCACAUCUCGGAUUCGCCGCGGGGCAACUACCUGGGAAAACCGCAGACUGGGCAAUGAAAGACUACAUCCGGCAACCGGAUGCUGGGUUCUGUGACUCCAGGAAAAGGGGCUCCUGGGCCCAGGGAGGUGCGCGGGCUGGGGACUCGGCCACGGCGCCUCCCGCCGGUCCUUGCCAUCUGAAGGCCGGGAGGAGUGGGGAGUCGGCGCUUGCAAAGAUACACUCAAGACUGCAGACAGUAAAUCAAUUUUAUUUGUGUUCACAGAACAUACUAGGCGAUCUCGACAGUCGCUCCGUGACAGCCCACCAACCCCCAACCCUCUACCUCGCAGCCACCCUAAAGGCGACUUCAAGAAGAUGGAAGGAUCUCACGGAUCUCAUUCCUAAUGGUCCGCCGAAGUCUCACACAGUAGACAGACGGAGUUGAGAUGCUGGAGGAUGCAGUCACCUCCUAAACUUACGACCCACCACCAGACUUCAUCCCAGCCGGGACGUCCUCCCCCACCCGAGUCCUCCCCAUUUCUUCUCCUACUUUGCCGCAGUUCCAGGUGUCCUGCUUCCACCAGUCCCACAAAGCUCAAUAAAUACCAAGAGACCUGCAUUUACAGCAGGGGGAACAUCUCACACCCUUGCAUAAGUUAAAAUAAAUAUUACGUACACAUCUCCAUCA
Molecule: long non-coding RNA, 846 nt
Organism: Homo sapiens (human)
Lineage: Eukaryota; Metazoa; Chordata; Mammalia; Primates; Hominidae
Gene: IER3-AS1
Product: IER3 antisense RNA 1
Source: Ensembl